This is a non-coding RNA of Elaeis guineensis (African oil palm), 777 nucleotides long. Lineage: Eukaryota; Viridiplantae; Streptophyta; Magnoliopsida; Arecales; Arecaceae. The record is from RefSeq and is a predicted model, not a curated record.
GCAGAAUCACCGACUAUAGUCCGCUCUUCGCCUUGACGUCGUCUCUUCUCCGGUUUGGUUUCCUUCCUUGCUUUAAUCGGUGGCGAGAACUCCGUUCUCUCUUUCUUCCGGCCACACGGAAUUUGGUUGUUGUCUCACUUCACAACAACUAUUAUUGCGUAUCUGGUUUUCGUGAUUCCAAGACAUUUUUGCAGGUGUGAUUCUAUUGCUUUGUCUGGCCUUAAUUUAAUGCUUUUUUGAUAUGCACAUACAAGUUAUGAUUCAAGGAACCUUGUUAAUAAGGCACAAGAUAGGCACUAAACCUAUUUUAAUAGGUUCGAGGAAAAGAGAAACAGAUACACAAGGAAGAGAAGAGGAGAGAUGUCAGUGGAGAUGGAGAAGAGAAAAAUGCUACAUGACACUCAUAUAGACCCUGGAAUCAUUAUUUUAUUACUUGGUGGGUGGGGCACUAAUUAGUGCAAAUUUGACCGCAUUGCUUUCCCGAGUGAGUGACUCGGUGCAUAAUGGAUUUGUGCUAAUUCAAGAUCAAUAAAAGGCCAAAAAGAAGACACGAAAUAUAUCUCGAAAACACAGCAAUAAAUAAAGGCAUAUCACAACAAAACAUUGUAGAAAAACUUCUCGUCAUCAACAAGAAAUGGUGAUCUAGUCACCAAAAUCAACCAUGUCACUCAAGCAUUUGUCCUUGAAGAGAAUUCCAAUCCUUUGCCCCACCCACUUCAGGUACUGAUUUUUGACAUUUCAACUGUUGGACAAAUUUGUAUCCGAGAACGAUUACUC